This 858-nucleotide ribosomal RNA is filed under the name uncultured euryarchaeote. RNAcentral's name for it is "bacterial SSU rRNA". It matches the Rfam family "Archaeal small subunit ribosomal RNA", at positions 1 to 879 of the family's 1478-position model. The record is from RNAcentral. Lineage: Archaea; Methanobacteriati; Methanobacteriota.
UUCCGGUUGAUCCCGCCGGAGGCGACCGCUUUGGGAGUUCGAUUAAGCCAUGCGAGUCGUGAGUCUUAGGGACUCGGCAUACUGCUCAGUAACACGUGGAUAACCUGCCCUAUCGUCUGGAAUAACCUCGGGAAACUGAGAAUAAGGCCGGAUAGUUCACAAUGCCUGGAACGGUUUGUGAAUCAAGGUAGGAUGGGUCUGCGGCGUAUCAGGUUGUAGGGGGUGUAAAGGACCCCCUAGCCUUCGACGCGUACGGGUGUUGGGAGACAUAGCCCGGAGAUGGAUUCUGAGACACGAAUCCAGACCCUACGGGGUGCAGCAGGCGCGAAAACUUCACACUGCAGGAAACUGUGAUGAGGGAACUCCUAGUGCAUGCACUAUGUGUAUGUAGAUCCUACUCUUAACAAGUAGAGGGAAAGGGCUGGGAAAGACCGGUGCCAGCCGCCGCGGUAAUACCGGCAGCUCAAGUGGUCGUCGCUUUUAUUGGGCCUAAAACGUCCGUAGCCUGUUUGGUAAAUCUGUGGGUAAAUCAAUCCGCUCAACGGAUUGAAUUCUGCAGAGACUGCCAGACUAGGGACCGGGAGAGGUGUGGGGUACUCGAGGGGUAGGGGUAAAAUCCUGUCAUCCUUCGAGGACCACCAGUUGCGAAGGCGCCACACUGGAACGGAUCCGACGGUCAGGGACGAAGCCUAGGGGCACGAACCGGAUUAGAUACCCGGGUAGUCCUAGGUGUAAACGCUGUGAACUUGGUGUCGGGGGUCCGCAAGGGGUCCCCGGUGCCGGAGUGAAGAUGUUAAGUUCACUGCCUGGGGAGUACGGUCGCAAGGCUGAAACUUGAAGGAAUUAGCGGGGCAGCAC